UACGGAGGGUGCAAGCGUUAUCCGGAUUCACUGGGUUUAAAGGGUGCGUAGGUGGGCAGGUAAGUCAGUGGCGAAAUCUCCGAGCUUAACUCGGAAACUGCCGUUGAUACUAUUUGUCUUGAAUAUUGUGGAGGUAAGCGGAAUAUGUCAUGUAGCGGUGAAAUGCUUAGAUAUGACAUAGAACACCAAUUGCGAAGGCAGCUUACUACACAACGAUUGACGCUGAGGCACGAAAGCGUGGGGAGCAAACAGG
This 253-nucleotide ribosomal RNA is filed under the name uncultured bacterium. RNAcentral describes it as "partial 16S ribosomal RNA". It matches the Rfam family "Bacterial small subunit ribosomal RNA", at positions 524 to 776 of the family's 1533-position model. The record is from RNAcentral.